UCGACCUGAGCUCAGGCAAGAACACCCGCUGAACUUAAGCAUAUCAAUAAGCGGAGGAAAAGAAACUAACUAGGAUUCCCUUAGUAGCGGCGAGCGAACCGGGAAAAGCCCAACUUGUAAAUCAUUAGCCUUCGGCUAAUUGAAUUGUAGUCUCAAGGUGUGUUCUCUGUAGCAAGCAUUGCCCAAUUUUCCUUGGAAAAGGGAGUCAGAGAGGGUGAGAACCCCGUCGGCAAUUGCUUCAGCUACUCCACGAGACACUCCCUCAGAGUCGGGUUGCUUGGGAAUGCAGCCCUAAGUAGGUGGUAAAUCCCAUCUAAGGCUAAAUACUGACGGGAGACCGAUAGCGAACAAGUACCGUGAGGGAAAGAUGAAAAGAACUUUGAAAAGAGAGUCAAAAGUGCUUGAAAUUGUUGAGGGGGAAGGAAUUGGAAGCCGUAAGUGCUCCCUGGCUUAAGUGGGCAACUCUGCCUAUUGUAUGCUCUGGGAGCCGGUCAGCAUCAGCUAUUGGACCGGGACAAUAACUGCUUUUGCAGUGCAUGUCGGCCCAAUGGCUGAGGAAUGAAAGGCGCUCUUUGAGUCCUUCGGAACCGCGCUCAA
This 597-nucleotide ribosomal RNA is filed under the name uncultured Trebouxia photobiont. RNAcentral's name for it is "eukaryotic LSU rRNA". It matches the Rfam family "Eukaryotic large subunit ribosomal RNA", at positions 1 to 602 of the family's 3401-position model. The record is from RNAcentral. Lineage: Eukaryota; Viridiplantae; Chlorophyta; Trebouxiophyceae; Trebouxiales; Trebouxiaceae.